This 454-nucleotide ribosomal RNA is filed under the name uncultured Porphyromonas sp. RNAcentral describes it as "partial 16S ribosomal RNA". It matches the Rfam family "Bacterial small subunit ribosomal RNA", at positions 341 to 792 of the family's 1533-position model. Lineage: Bacteria; Pseudomonadati; Bacteroidota; Bacteroidia; Bacteroidales; Porphyromonadaceae. The record is from RNAcentral.
ACGGGAGGCAGCAGUGAGGAAUAUUGGUCAAUGGAGGCAACUCUGAACCAGCCAUCUCGCGUGAAGGAAUACGGCCCUACGGGUCUUAAACUUCUUUUAUAGGGGGAUAAAGUGAGAUAUGUAUAUCUUUUUGUAGGUACCCUAUGAAUAAGCAUCGGCUAACUCCGUGCCAGCAGCCGCGGUAAUACGGAGGAUGCGAGCGUUAUCCGGAUUUAUUGGGUUUAAAGGGUGCGCAGGCGGCACGUUAAGUCAGCGGUGAAAUGUCGGGGCUCAACCCGGGCACUGCCGUUGAAACUGGCGAGCUUGAGUACGGAUGAAGUCGGCGGAAUGUGAUGUGUAGCGGUGAAAUGCUUAGAUAUGACACAGAACACCGAUUGCGAAGGCAGCUUGCUGGGACGCAACUGACGCUGAGGCACGAAAGUGCGGGGAUCGAACAGGAUUAGAUACCCUGGUA